CUUCCAGUAGCACCUUAGAGACCAACUUUCAAAAGCUCAUACCAAUAACUAACUUAGUUGGUCUCUAAGGUGCUACUGGAAG
Podarcis lilfordi (Lilford's wall lizard) is the source of this 82-nucleotide non-coding RNA. Lineage: Eukaryota; Metazoa; Chordata; Lepidosauria; Squamata; Lacertidae. The record is from the annotation of a GenBank genome assembly.